CCAAGCAAUUCUAAAAAAAAAAAUCAUUAACAUUAGUAAGCUCAAUAUAUUUAAUUACAUUAAUUUUAGAAGUAAUUUUUAUAAAAUAUGAAGAAUACCUCAAACCAACUCCAUUUAGGAUUUGGGUAGGCAUUAGGAAUGGGUUUUGGCACUUUCAAAAGUCUACAUUGUAGCCUUAACACUCCAUGUAGAAUGGAAUUGAAAUACCUACUUAUGGUCUCCCCUGAUCGACAAAACCUACUCCCAAUUGUACGAUUCUUGACAUGAUGUGCAAGUAUAUGCAAAAACAUGCAAACUUGUUCUUCCAUUGUCACUACACCAUCCAAUUUUACUCUAUCGUGGUCACGAAGCAUUUGACAUAAAUAAUGGAACGUUCUUCUAUCCAUUCUAAUUUGGUUCACACACUGAACAUCAUCAUAUCCUAUUAUGCUGUCUAAAUAGGCUGACCCUACCAUUCUCCUAACAAAUGUGCAAUUUCUAAGUGCAAGUUGCCAAUUCCGCCUUCUAGCUGAAUUAUGAUUCAUCAUGAACCACAUCAUCAACCAAGUCACAAUAUUCAAGUACCACAACUUAACAAUGAAGCAUGCACAAUCUUUCUUUCAUCCAUGUCUAGUGAAAAUAUAAAAUAACAUUAUUAGAUAGUGGCAAAAAAUUAAGUAACUGGAGCAUGAAGUCAUAAUAACACUGAAAACGGAAGGAAGCAUGUUAAUAAGUCCUACCAAAAAAUGUCAUAGGCAGAUAAUAAAUCCUACAGACUGUUGGGGUGAUCAGAAGGAAAAAUUACAAUGAAAUCAGAAAGAUGUCUUGACAUUCAUCAAUCAAGGAAGCAUGUUACGAAUCGAAUUCAAAAAAUCAAAACACCAAGUUCCGGAGAGAAAAGAAGUCUAGUCUAUGAUGACACUUUGUACGACCUCAAAGCAUUAUAUAUUCAUCACCUUAUGUUGCAUCAAAAUUGAGUGUCAUGUUGCAUCAAAAUUAAGCCGAAACAUUAGAAGAGCAGCAACUCUCCUUUUCUUCUCUAUUUCUCACUCACACUCUUUUUCUAAAAGGCAAUUACUUUACAAAGUGGAAUAAAUGCCAAUCAACAAUUCAACAACCCUAGUCCGAAAUUAUUCACACACACAUAUAUAUAUCCAGAUAAAAAGUAAAAUUCACAUAAAAAUUAAAAAAUGGAUAAAAGCUGAGAGGGAGUGAUGCAAAAAUUGAGAAGAACAGCAAUUUAUUGGGAUCUAAUUUUCGGGCCAUAGACGGUGAUGGGGAGUGAGAGAGAGAGAGAGAACAAGAGCGAAGAGAAAUUGGCUUACCCAGUUGUCCGUAUGGUUGCAUUGCAGCUGCGAGACAGCGAGUGAAAUGAGAGCUGCGCCAGAGACAAAGUUUUGUUUAGGUAAGUGAACAUGCACACUCCCACUCUACCCAAUCACUAAAGUUCUAAUUAAAGUUCAACAGCAACAACAAACCCUAAAUUCGACCCUAAUAGCAAACCCUAAAAUUCAAAAAUUCUAAUUAAAACACAAAAUUACAUAAUCAAUUGCAUAAUUAGAGAGAAAAUAAUAACUAGAUUCAAUCAAUUGCAAGAAAAAUAGGAGGGGGAAAAGGGAGGGGUGGAAUCCCAGAAGAAGAAAAGUAAAAGAUGAACUGUGAUUCAAACGAAGAAGAAGAAUUUGAGAAGACGAACCUGGGAUGAGAGCAAGAGUGCGUCUGGAGAGCAAGAGUGCGUCUGGAGAGGAAGAGAUAGCGUCUGGAGAGGAAGAGAGAGCGUCUGGAGAGGAAGAGAGAGCGCCUGGAGCGGAAAAGUGCGUUUGGAGAGGAAGCAGAAGAAGAGUGCGUCUGGAGAGGAAGGGGAAGAGUGCGUCUGGAGAGGAAGAGAGCCCGACUAAGUUAUACCAUGAAAUUGGAUGGUUUAAGCAAGCGGGUAAACACCAUGUAAAAAAGGUGGGCCCGGAUUAUUUAAUCUGGUGCCUAUUUAAUCCAAACAGCCACCAAACACCGUACACCGUAUUAUUAGUACUAUCCGGUGCCUUAUACAAUGUGCCAAACAGGGCCUUGGUGUCCAUCUUGCUACUGUACUUUGUGUUUUCUCUAUCCUGUAGUACUAUCAAUCUUAACAGUCUAGGUACAAUAACGAGUGAGCGUGUUAUUUUAUGAGCAUUGACUAUAAUUUAUAUGGAAACAACUCUUGGAUUUCCCUAUUAAAAUAGGAAACUAACACGCAAUUUCAAUCUAACUAUGUGUGUUAAGUAUCAUGAUUCAUUUAAAGUUUCAAUCCCAAACUAAUUAGGACAACAUUAAACUCUUUAUUAAGAUCUUUUCAUACCAAUUUGAAACACUAUAUUAGUCCAUAUAAUUGGAAAUCUAUCUAGUCAUUUAAGAAAAAGAAAAGGCCUAAUUGGAUAAAUGGUCCCCGUGGUCAUAAGGUAUUCGGAUGAUAGCCCCUGUGGUAAAAAAAUUCGGAUUUAAACUCCUGUGGUCUAAGUCUGUUAGGAUUUAAACCCCUGUGGUCUAAGUCUGUUAGGAUUUAUGCCAUUCUGUUAAAUAAUGCUAACGUGGCUGCCA
This 2553-nucleotide long non-coding RNA is filed under the name Malus domestica (apple). Its description in RNAcentral is "long non-coding RNA (MDOM_LNC011113)". The record is from RNAcentral. Lineage: Eukaryota; Viridiplantae; Streptophyta; Magnoliopsida; Rosales; Rosaceae.